UUAGCAAUAUAAGUGAUGGCGACCGGCGCACGGGUGAGUAACACGUAUCCAACCUGCCGAUAACUCGGGGAUAGCCUUUCGAAAGAAAGAUUAAUAUCCGAUAGUAUAUUAAAACCGCAUGGUUUUACUAUUAAAGAAUUUCGGUUAUCGGUGGGGAUGCGUUCCAUUAGUUUGUUGGCGGGGUAACGGCCCACCAAGACUACGAUGGAUAGGGGUUCUGAGAGGAAGGUCCCCCACAUUGGAACUGAGACACGGUCCAA
This 260-nucleotide ribosomal RNA is filed under the name uncultured bacterium. RNAcentral's name for it is "partial 16S ribosomal RNA". It matches the Rfam family "Bacterial small subunit ribosomal RNA", at positions 75 to 334 of the family's 1533-position model. The record is from RNAcentral.